RNAcentral lists this ribosomal RNA (1210 nucleotides) under human gut metagenome. RNAcentral describes it as "bacterial LSU rRNA". It matches the Rfam family "Bacterial large subunit ribosomal RNA", at positions 703 to 1985 of the family's 2925-position model. The record is from RNAcentral.
GCAGUAUACGACCCGAAACCGGGUGACCUACCCAUGGUCAGGUUGAAGUGGAAGUAAAAUUCCAUGGAGGACCGAACCCACGUCUGUUGAAAAAGGCGGGGAUGAGCUGUGGUUAGCGGUGAAAUUCCAAUCGAACUCGGAUAUAGCUGGUUCUCAUCGAAAUAGCUUUAGGGCUAGCCUCAGGAUAGUUUAGCGGAGGUAAAGCACUGAAUGGGCUAGGGGGCUUCACGGCUUACCGAACCCUAUCAAACUCUGAAUGCCGCAUAAAUGUUUCCUGGGAGUCAGACUGCGUGAGAUAAGUUUCGUAGUCAAAAGGGAAAGAGCCCAGACCUACAGCUAAGGUCCCUAAAUGAAUUUAAGUGGAAAAGGAUGUGCAGUUGCGUAGACAACUAGGACGUUGGCUUAGAAGCAGCCACUCAUUUAAAGAGUGCGUAAUAGCUCACUAGUCGAGUGAUUGUGCGCCGAAAAUGUAACGGGGCUAAAAUUCAUACCGAAGCUUAGGAAUGAUAGUAAUAUUGUUGGUAGAUGAGCGUUGUGUAAGUCUGCGAAGCUACACCGAAAGGAGUAGUGGAGAUAUCACAAGUGAGAAUGCCGGAAUGAGUAGCGAGAAUUAUGUGAGAAUCAUAAUGGCCGAAAAUCUAAGGUUUCUUGAGGAAGGUUCGUCCGCUCAAGGUAAGCCGGGAGCUAAGGCGAGGCCGAGAGGCGUAGUCGAUGCACAUACGGUAAAGAUUCCGUAGCCACCGAAGUCGUUAAAUACAGGGACACAGGAACAUAGCCUAACCCCACCGUUGGUUGAGUGGGGCGUAAGGGAGCGAAAAUUAGUAGCGAAGUGGGUGAUUGUACACUGGCGAGAAAAGCUGUAUGAAUUGACAAGGUGCCCGUACCGCAAACCGACACAGGUAGAUGAGGAGAGAAUCCUAAGACCAGCGGGAGAAGUGUUGUUAAGGAACUCGGCAAAAUGACCCCGUAACUUCGGGAUAAGGGGAGCCUACGAGAGUAGGCCGCAGAGAAUAGUCUCAAGCGACUGUUUAGCAAAAACACAGGUCUAUGCUAAAUCGAAAGAUGAUGUAUAUGGGCUGACGCCUGCCCGGUGCUGGAAGGUUAAGGGGAAGUGUUAGAGCAAUCGAAGCACUGAACUUAAGCCCCAGUAAACGGCGGCCGUAACUAUAACGGUCCUAAGGUAGCGAAAUUCCUUGUCAGGUAAGUUCUG